CACCGCCACUGACAACCUAUAUAAGAAUGCGAAACUCUUCUCAAGUUCACUCCUCAAUUGCACUUCCUACGUUGGUUGUGAUUUCUCAAUAAGCGGUUCUUGUUCCUCUUAAAUUUGGUUUUCUGUGAUACCAUUGUUCUUUAUUUUCUCUUCUUCUUUCCCAAUUGCUAGGUUCUUUCUUUCUCUGCUAUAACAUUGAAUAAUGGGCACGGAGUAAUGUGAUAAGGCUUUACUGUGGGUGAAUUUUGGAGACUCGGUUCAACAAAAUUUCUACCGUAAAUGCGAGGAGAAUUGUUGGUGCUUUUGCAAAAUCUGAUUGAUUAGGGUUUUAAAGAAUGUAUGAAUCAACAAUGGUGAGUGAAGAAACUUUAUUAUCUGCACGUUUCGGGAAUGGAAAGAGCAAGGGAAAGCUCUAGUGCUUAAGAAGAAGGUGUUCAAGUAUUGAUCUUCAGAUUGCCAGGGAGUUGUGUUGUGUUGUUUCUGAAGGCAAGAGAAAUGAUUGUUGAAGGGGGAUAAAAGAUGGGGUCAUGCAUAUGAAAUCACGUGAUGCUGUUUUAGAGUCUCAAACAAUGGCCAAUAAUAGAUCAUAGCCUCCUACAUGUUAAGGUGUAACAGCCAACUAGUAUAUAUCUCUGAGAUGAAUUAUUAUGAAGUUGAAAGCUAUAGAUAAAUGGACUUAAGAGGCAUCUAUGCAAACUAAGUCUAAUGUUGCAUCAUGUUUCCCAUAGUUUGAGAAGUUCCACAUUAUGUUGCCCUUGAAAGGUGAAGUUUAUAUAAAUACUUUGUUUAACAAACCCAUAGAUAAGGUCCUGAAUCUUGAUCAUCAUUUAUUGAUUUCAUUAUCAGCACCUAAGACACGUGAGAUGUUACCAACUAAUGGAAGAGAUAUACAGUACAUUGCAAGAGCAAGAACUAGGUUUUACUUGUGCAUUAAUAAAGAUUUCUAUCAA
Molecule: non-coding RNA, 950 nt
Organism: Arachis ipaensis
Lineage: Eukaryota; Viridiplantae; Streptophyta; Magnoliopsida; Fabales; Fabaceae
Source: RefSeq, a predicted model, not a curated record